This 1402-nucleotide long non-coding RNA is filed under the name Homo sapiens (human). Its description in RNAcentral is "long independently transcribed non-coding RNA 1643, transcript variant 18 (LINC01643)". The record is from RNAcentral. Lineage: Eukaryota; Metazoa; Chordata; Mammalia; Primates; Hominidae.
AGAAACAGGCAGCCUGACUAGAGAACAAACUACCAAUUAACGAGCGAGGAAACAGGGCCAGAGAAUUGGAACAAAAUACAAGGCUGCCUCUGAAAGGAAUAUCUUUGUGCUGAUGUGUCCAUCAAGAGAACAUACACAGAAGUGACACUUGCCAGAAUCUUCAGGGGACCACUCAUUCUCUCCUCUUCAGUCAUGAGGCUCUACAGGUGACUUCAGCUCAUGCUCAGAUCUGACCCAUCAGAAUCAAGUGAAUAGUCUGAGAUCAGAUUUAUGAUGCGGACAAAGCUGAUGAGAAUACGCCCUGUAGUUCUGCUGGAACAUUGGGAAAAAGAAGUCCUCUUUCUGCUGGAGCUUCAAGCUCAUAGAAUGAAGACGGCGUGCUGGGGACCAUCUUGUAACCAUCAAAGUAAUUUGCAAGCAGAUGGAACUUCAAUAUGGCAAUAGAGAAAGAAUCAAUUAGACCAGAGUCUCCUCAGGAAGACUUUCUAUAGAUAUCUGGUGAGCAUCUGCUAGAUGCCAGGGUUGGGGAGAGUCAAGUUGAAGCAAGCAUGAACCCUCAAGGACCUACCAUUUCAAGGCAAGAAAUAGAUACAAAUACAGCGUAAUUAUCUCUCCAAUUAAAGAGCAACCAAGGGACAACUGAACUGGAGGUUCUGCAGAAUUACAACUAAGCACGCAGCCGAGGAAUCUACUCAGCUUUGAUCUCUUAUCGCUCUGCACACACAGCCCUUUCUCUGUAAGGCUAGCUGCUCUCAGCAUCACUGUGUCUAAUCAAACGUGUCACACCUCCACUGAGAAAAUAUUUACUGGAUAGCUACUAGACAUAAGGAUGCAGAAAUGAAUUAGAAAAAUUCCUCGCCCUUGUUCAAAGCUAUGCUGGCUCUUAGAACAUCUGAGCCCCCACUGUUUCAUCUUUAGAGGAUCCCAGCUGCUGGGGUGUGAGGCCAGUGCUGGAGCCAGCAGUCUCUGACCCAGAAGGGACCUGAGGUGCUAAAGAAAAGGGUACAAGCUGGAAAAGGGGAAAAUGAAUCAUGCUACAGGCCAAGUGUCCAUCACUGAUUCCCAGAGAUGCCCUUUGUGUGGUAGGCACUUCCAUGUGGACUCGCUACAGAGGUCAUAAGACCCUAAUUCCAGAGGGCCCUACCCUAUAACCAGAAGGAAGAACUAUUGCACAGAGAAUCUAAGAAGAAUCUAGACAGACAGCCCUUGCUGGAUUUCUCCACUCUGUUAGCAUUCGAUCAUUUGCCUUUUGUCCAGUCAUAUUUCUGCAUGGCUGUCCAUACUUUGUUGAACCUAAGCACAAAAUGGAAAGUUUUCCCUGUAUCUUUGGGUCGUCAUUCUGAAGGCUCCCAUGUUAUGUAAAACUAUGAUCAAAUAAAUAUGCAUGCCUUUUCUCCUAUAA